RNAcentral lists this non-coding RNA (22 nucleotides) under Arabidopsis thaliana (thale cress). Lineage: Eukaryota; Viridiplantae; Streptophyta; Magnoliopsida; Brassicales; Brassicaceae. The record is from RNAcentral.
CACCAUAAUGGUGUUUAGCCUU